Long non-coding RNA from Juglans regia (Persian walnut), 777 nucleotides. RefSeq lists it as uncharacterized. The record is from RefSeq and is a predicted model, not a curated record. The transcript has 3 exons. Lineage: Eukaryota; Viridiplantae; Streptophyta; Magnoliopsida; Fagales; Juglandaceae.
CUCUCUCUCUCCUCUCCUCCGCCCGUUCUCUUCUCUCCCUCCCAGCGCCGCCGUGCGCCGCUCGUGGCCGGCACCGCCCCUCCCGUUCGCUCCCCCACCGGCCGGCGACCCCUCCCCGUAAAUCCCAGCCUCCCUCGCGCCGCCGACAGCCCCCACGCUCCACACCAAGCCGCGGCGCUCUCUUCACUCCAGCGUCGCCGUCGCUCCACCACCGGCCACCAUCUUCCUACCACUUCAUCCCCGACCUCUUGGCAACCCAUUGGACCCAACCCCAGCUCCGAUCCGUCACCGGUGAAGCCCCACCAAGUCCAUCUCCGAUUUCGACUAUUUGGCCUUAAAACCGCCCCUUGCGCUGCCACCCACGGCAAACCACCACCACCACUAGCUUCACCGACCUCCAUAGGCCCUACCCUACCAAUCUCGGGUCUUCGUUUGCACCCGUUGAAAAGUGGGUAUCUGUGACCCACGGCCACAUUGUAUUUUACAGUCCGAGCUAUUUUUCCACUUCGAGCGCACCCGUGAUCCUCGAAAAAUUAUUUUAUAGCACUGUACUUACUCAUGGCACACUUUAGAAUCUUCAGUCAAAGAUAUGGCUGCAACUAGGCCUUGUUUGUUUUCUCAGAUUUUGAUGCAGAGGAGGAUGAGGGCGAGCUUGAGGAGACGGCUCCGCCCGAUGAGUGAUCUGGGAUCACUUACUUGGCUAUCUUAUUUUAAUGUAUUGUAUUUUAUUUUUGGAUGACUGUAUAACUACCGUUUAAACCCUUACUGAUAUUUAAA